GCCAGGCAUGGUAGUGCGUGCCUGUAGUCCCAGCUACUCGGGAGGCUGAGGUGGGAGGAUCGCUUGAGGCCAGGAGUCCUGGGCUGUAGUGCGCUAUGCCAAUCGGGUGUCCGCACUAAGUUUGGCAUCAAUAUGGUGACUUCCUGGGAGUGGGGGACCACCAGGUUGCCUAAGGAGGGGUGAACCGGCCCAGGUCGGAAAUGGAGCAGGUCAAAACUCCCAUGCUGAUCAGUAGUGGGAUUGUGCCUGUGAAUAGCCACCGCACUUCAGCCUGGGCAACAUAGUGAGACACCGUCUCU
RNAcentral lists this signal recognition particle RNA (299 nucleotides) under Cebus imitator (Panamanian white-faced capuchin). RNAcentral describes it as "Metazoan signal recognition particle RNA (ENSCCAG00000005511.1)". It matches the Rfam family "Metazoan signal recognition particle RNA". From Rfam's summary of the family: The signal recognition particle (SRP) is a universally conserved ribonucleoprotein. It is involved in the co-translational targeting of proteins to membranes. The record is from RNAcentral. Lineage: Eukaryota; Metazoa; Chordata; Mammalia; Primates; Cebidae.